GGGAAGGUGGCUCAGUGGUAGAGUGCUUGCCUUGCAUGCAUGAGGCCCUAGGUUCAAUUCCUCAGUACUA
Molecule: transfer RNA, 70 nt
Filed under: Dipodomys ordii (Ord's kangaroo rat)
Lineage: Eukaryota; Metazoa; Chordata; Mammalia; Rodentia; Heteromyidae
Rfam family: tRNA
About the family: Transfer RNA (tRNA) molecules are approximately 80 nucleotides in length.
Source: Rfam by way of RNAcentral